Molecule: ribosomal RNA, 424 nt
Filed under: uncultured Escherichia sp.
Lineage: Bacteria; Pseudomonadati; Pseudomonadota; Gammaproteobacteria; Enterobacterales; Enterobacteriaceae
Description: bacterial SSU rRNA
Rfam family: Bacterial small subunit ribosomal RNA
Source: RNAcentral
AUUGAACGCUGGCGGCAGGCCUAACACAUGCAAGUCGAACGGUAACAGGAAGAAGCUUGCUUCUUUGCUGACGAGUGGCGGACGAGUGAGUAAUGUCUGGGAAACUGCCUGAUGGAGGGGGAUAACUACUGGAAACGGUAGCUAAUACCGCAUAACGUCGCAAGACCAAAGAGGGGGACCUUCGGGCCUCUUGCCAUCGGAUGUGCCCAGAUGGGAUUAGCUUGUUGGUGGGGUAACGGCUCACCAAGGCGACGAUCCCUAGCUGGUCUGAGAGGAUGACCAGCCACACUGGAACUGAGACACGGUCCAGACUCCUACGGGAGGCAGCAGUGGGGAAUAUUGCACAAUGGGCGCAAGCCUGAUGCAGCCAUGCCGCGUGUAUGAAGAAGGCCUUCGGGUUGUAAAGUACUUUCAGCGGGGAGGA